UUCGGGAUGCUGGCGAGUGGCGAACGGGUGCGUAACACGUGGAUACCUGUCCUGAGGCGGGGGACAACAGCUGGAAACGGCUGCUAAUACCGCAUAAGCCCUACGGGGGAAAGAUUUAUCACCUUGGGAGGGGUCCGCGUCGGAUUAGCUAGUUGGUAAGGUAACGGCUUACCAAGGCGACGAUCCGUAGCUGGUCUGAGAGGAUGAUCAGCCACACUGGGACUGAGACACGGCCCAGACUCCUACGGGAGGCAGCAGUGGGGAAUAUUGCGCAAUGGGGGCAACCCUGACGCAGCGAUGCCGCGUGAGUGAAGAAGGCCUUCGGGUUGUAAAGCUCUUUCAGUAGGGAAGAUUGUGACGGUACCUACAGAAGAAGCUCCGGCUAACUCCGUGCCAGCAGCCGCGGUAAUACGGAGGGGGCGAGCGUUGUUCGGAAUUACUGGGCGUAAAGGGCGCGUAGGCGGUUUGACAAG
RNAcentral lists this ribosomal RNA (473 nucleotides) under uncultured Magnetococcus sp. RNAcentral's name for it is "bacterial SSU rRNA". It matches the Rfam family "Bacterial small subunit ribosomal RNA", at positions 79 to 587 of the family's 1533-position model. Lineage: Bacteria; Pseudomonadati; Pseudomonadota; Magnetococcia; Magnetococcales; Magnetococcaceae. The record is from RNAcentral.